This 700-nucleotide ribosomal RNA is filed under the name uncultured bacterium. RNAcentral describes it as "bacterial SSU rRNA". It matches the Rfam family "Bacterial small subunit ribosomal RNA", at positions 8 to 705 of the family's 1533-position model. The record is from RNAcentral.
AGAGUUUGAUCAUGGCUCAGAUUGAACGCUGGCGGCAUGCCUUACACAUGCAAGUCGAACGGUAACAGGUCUUCGGAUGCUGACGAGUGGCGAACGGGUGAGUAAUACAUCGGAACGUGCCCGAUCGUGGGGGAUAACGGAGCGAAAGCUUUGCUAAUACCGCAUACGAUCUACGGAUGAAAGCAGGGGACCGCAAGGCCUUGCGCGGACGGAGCGGCCGAUGGCAGAUUAGGUAGUUGGUGGGAUAAAAGCUUACCAAGCCGACGAUCUGUAGCUGGUCUGAGAGGACGACCAGCCACACUGGGACUGAGACACGGCCCAGACUCCUACGGGAGGCAGCAGUGGGGAAUUUUGGACAAUGGGCGCAAGCCUGAUCCAGCCAUGCCGCGUGCAGGAUGAAGGCCUUCGGGUUGUAAACUGCUUUUGUACGGAACGAAAAGACUCUGGUUAAUACCUGGGGUCCAUGACGGUACCGUAAGAAUAAGCACCGGCUAACUACGUGCCAGCAGCCGCGGUAAUACGUAGGGUGCAAGCGUUAAUCGGAAUUACUGGGCGUAAAGCGUGCGCAGGCGGUGAUGUAAGACAGAUGUGAAAUCCCCGGGCUCAACCUGGGAACUGCAUUUGUGACUGCAUCGCUGGAGUACGGCAGAGGGGGAUGGAAUUCCGCGUGUAGCAGUGAAAUGCGUAGAUAUGCGGAGGA